CGACUUAUAUUCUGUAGCAAGGUUAACCGUAUAGGGGAGCCGCAGGGAAACCGAGUCUUAACUGGGCGUUAAGUUGCAGGGUAUAGACCCGAAACCCGGUGAUCUAGCCAUGGGCAGGUUGAAGGUUGGGUAACACUAACUGGAGGACCGAACCGACUAAUGUUGAAAAAUUAGCGGAUGACUUGUGGCUGGGGGUGAAAGGCCAAUCAAACCGGGAGAUAGCUGGUUCUCCCCGAAAGCUAUUUAGGUAGCGCCUCGUGAACUCAUCUUCGGGGGUAGAGCACUGUUUCGGCUAGGGGGUCAUCCCGACUUACCAACCCGAUGCAAACUACGAAUACCGAAGAAUGUUAUCACGGGAGACACACGGCGGGUGCUAACGUCCGUCGUGAAGAGGGAAACAACCCAGACCGCCAGCUAAGGUCCCAAAGUCAUGGUUAAGUGGGAAACGAUGUGGGAAGGCACAGACAGCCAGGAUGUUGGCUUAGAAGCAGCCAUCAUUUAAAGAAAGCGUAAUAGCUCACUGGUCGAGUCGGCCUGCGCGGAAGAUGUAACGGGGCUAAACCAUGCACCGAAGCUGCGGCAGCGACACUAUGUGUUGUUGGGUAGGGGAGCGUUCUGUAAGCCUGCGAAGGUGACCUGUGAGGGUUGCUGGAGGUAUCAGAAGUGCGAAUG
RNAcentral lists this ribosomal RNA (672 nucleotides) under Variovorax sp. WS11. Its description in RNAcentral is "bacterial LSU rRNA". It matches the Rfam family "Bacterial large subunit ribosomal RNA", at positions 624 to 1296 of the family's 2925-position model. Lineage: Bacteria; Pseudomonadati; Pseudomonadota; Betaproteobacteria; Burkholderiales; Comamonadaceae. The record is from RNAcentral.